CCACCAAUAGCUCAGUUGGUAGAGCGGGAGACUGUAGUAGCAUCCAUCCAAUCAAGAUGGUUAACCCUGACAUCUCUAGGUCAUCUGUUCGAAUCAGGUUUGGUGGA
Molecule: non-coding RNA, 107 nt
Organism: Hesseltinella vesiculosa
Lineage: Eukaryota; Fungi; Mucoromycota; Mucoromycetes; Mucorales; Cunninghamellaceae
Source: the annotation of a GenBank genome assembly